This 1275-nucleotide long non-coding RNA is filed under the name Anas platyrhynchos platyrhynchos (common mallard). RNAcentral describes it as "lncRNA (ENSAPLG00000029446.1)". The record is from RNAcentral. Lineage: Eukaryota; Metazoa; Chordata; Aves; Anseriformes; Anatidae.
AUGCUGUCAUCUGUUGGGGGCGGUGGGGAGGCAGGAGGUGUCCCCUCGUGUCCCCCCCCCCAUGGAGGUGUCUGCGGGGCUCCUGAUGGGAAGGGAGGUGGUUGGGGGUCCCCACGUCCUAACGAGGACCCGAGAGGUGGCACCGUCCCCUGCCGGGCUGCAGCUGGGACCCCAGUGCCGCAGGGUGACCGAGGGGACCCCGCAGGCUGCGCCCUGCAGCGAUCUCGGUUCCUCUUCCCCCAGGGAGGCUGCGGCAGGGCAGUGAGAGCUGCCAGGGGUGUGGGGCCAUAUGGGAAGGACAGGAGUGCGCAGGGCAGGGGGUGGGAUACUGCCCUGGGGGGCCACAAGGUGCCCGAGGGGCUGCAGCACGCGGUGUCACCGCUCAGCCCCGCCAGCGUCCCAUUUUUGACCCCGUUUUGCCGUCCCCAAAGCCUGGGACCCUGCCAGCCGCAAGGUUCCCCUCGGAGGCCACGGCACCGUCCUCUUCCUCCUCCUCCUCCUCCUCCCCCACACCACUCUCCCUGGCCGCUUCCUCCUCCUGCUGUGAAGGUGACAGCAGGGCCCGCGGGGUGCCCCCUGCUCCCCGUCCCUGCGGGGUCCCCCCCUUUGGCCAGGCGCUGGUCCCGAUGCCACCUCGGUUUGUCCCCAGGGCAGCGGGUCUGGGGUAUUCGGAGAGCCUCCAGAGCUCUCCGUGUGUCUGCACCCCCUCAAACCCGACCCCUCCGUCCCCUUAGGAAGGGGCUGGGGCGAUCCCAUGGGGUGACAGGCAGGGUGACACAUGGGGACACCAGACCCCGGCUCAGGGCUGGGGCAGCGCUCCGGGUCCCUCCCUUCCUGAGCUCAUUCCUUGGCCACCACCCGCUUUGGAAACCUCCCCGUGCCACCAGCACCGGGAAACCGGGCUCUGGGGUCGGGGGGGGACAGGGGGAGCAGAUGGCCAGGAGGACGGUGACAAUUCCCAGACCCGUGGCAGUGGUGGGGACGAGUUGGCCGGGUGUCCGUGCGGCACGGAGGGGGCACGGCGGGGCGCGAGCUGGCACCGUGGUGGCACCAGCGCAGGUGGAGCCAGUCUGGGGGGGGGGCUCGCUGCCCAUCUGCUCCCGGGGCCGGCCGCCAGCACGCGGCCCCUCCCCAAAAAUGACCCCAGGGAGCCGUUUUUGGGGGCCAGCCUUGGAGGGCGGGUGGGAUUGCUGUGUGGUGUUUGGGGCUAAACCUCAAGGUGCGGGGGUAUUUGGGGUCUGUGCCUGCCUGGGAGCUGCCCCGUGCCCUCCCUGA